This 251-nucleotide ribosomal RNA is filed under the name uncultured prokaryote. RNAcentral's name for it is "partial 16S rRNA". It matches the Rfam family "Bacterial small subunit ribosomal RNA", at positions 525 to 775 of the family's 1533-position model. The record is from RNAcentral.
ACGGGGGGUGCAAGCGUUGUUCGGAAUUAUUGGGCGUAAAGAGCGUGUAGGCGGCUGGGUAAGUCAGAUGUGAAAGCCCUGGGCUUAACCCAGGAAGUGCAUUUGAUACUGCCCGGCUUGAGUAGGGGAGAGGGAAGUGGAAUUCCUGGUGUAGAGGUGAAAUUCGUAGAUAUCAGGAGGAACACCGGUGGCGAAGGCGGCUUACUGGACCAAUACUGACGCUGAGACGCGAGAGCGUGGGGAGCAAACAG